This 67-nucleotide microRNA precursor is filed under the name Danaus plexippus plexippus. RNAcentral describes it as "mir-1000 microRNA precursor family". It matches the Rfam family "mir-1000 microRNA precursor family". Lineage: Eukaryota; Metazoa; Arthropoda; Insecta; Lepidoptera; Nymphalidae. The record is from Rfam by way of RNAcentral.
CUCGUCCAUAUUGUCCUGUCACAGCAGUACGUGCUGGCUACUGCUGCGUCGGGACAAGCCGGUCGAG